AAAAAAAAAAUAGAAAAGAAAAAACGUGAAAAGGCUCCUUUGCUGCCCUCUGCCUGCCGAGGCUGCGGGGGAGCCCGGCCGCCUCCGAGGCCGAGGAAGGGCUGACAUUGCCGGAGUGAAAAAAAAAGGACGAAUCCGGGCCAGUUUGCACACCUGUGGUGCUUCCACAGAAUCAGUUGUGUUGGAAAAGAACUCUGAGAUCAUCGAGCCCAACCUUUCCUGGCUCUGGAUGCACUGAGUUACCCAUUUUCCCACGUGUGGAUGUGCUCCUGUUUACAUUACUUGCAAACAACUUCAGUAGAAGGUAAAACUCCUUCCCGUCAGACUAAGCUGAAGGAUGUCCCCAAGCCGAGAGGGUUUUGGGGUCUGCACUUUAAAACUUGAAUUAUUUAAUGACACAACAGUACAAAUAGCUAACACAUGCAAGCCGCAGGAAAAAAAAAAGUGGAAAAAACAGGAGGGUAGAGCGAAUAUGCUGAUAAAUGCCUGUGAUACACAAACACAGGCAGUAAAUACCGUGUGGUUCAUUAGAUACGGGCUGGGGUGAUCCUGCCCUGCAGUUAAAGGCCUCUCACUUCCUCUGCCUUCUCCAGGUUGGUGCUUUCUACCAGCUCCGCUCUCCAGCUCUGCUGGUUCCCAGUUUGCCACCCUUUAAAUGUUGAGCUGUUGAUCCUCUCUGGUGAUACAAUGCAACUCUUUGAUGCCAAAAGCCCCUUCCUCCACUGAAUCCACAAGUUUCAGGGAUGCUGGGACUACACAGGAAAGGCAGGCAACAUGUAAUGAAAUUACGUGGAAGAGAAAGAUCCAUUAGAGCAAUGAGAUACCCGUAAAUCCUGUUAGCAGCCAAGCAUUUCCAUAGAAAUUUCCUGAUUCUAGAUGCCCAGCACCUUUCCUACGCUUCCAUUUCCUUAACACCAUUCCUAAAUCCCUACAUGGCUUCAUUUACAAGCCUAAACCCCAAAUGUAAAUUGAGGGGGGAGGAUCUCGUGUCCUUGGGUUUUAGCUCUAAAUUCCGUAGUUCAGGGUCUACUGGAAAGGGCAGCCUCCAGCUCUUGGACCAGGCGUCAUCUCUUGGCUUUAGACUCCUCCUGCACCACUCAGUUAAAGUUCAGGAUUUCACUAGUGGCUCGUCAGAGCGAGAACGUGCACAUUUAUGGAGAGUGGGAACUCAGCACAGCCCUCAGUUUCCUCUGCUGCCUUUGCCGGGAUUUGGUGCUGUGCGGGUGAGUGGGUGUGCGAGGAACGUGUGA
Cyanistes caeruleus (blue tit) is the source of this 1250-nucleotide long non-coding RNA. Lineage: Eukaryota; Metazoa; Chordata; Aves; Passeriformes; Paridae. The record is from Ensembl.